This 71-nucleotide transfer RNA is filed under the name Procavia capensis (Cape rock hyrax). RNAcentral describes it as "tRNA-Glu (TTC) (tRNA-Glu-TTC-6-1)". It matches the Rfam family "tRNA". From Rfam's summary of the family: Transfer RNA (tRNA) molecules are approximately 80 nucleotides in length. Their secondary structure includes four short double-helical elements and three loops (D, anti-codon, and T loops). Lineage: Eukaryota; Metazoa; Chordata; Mammalia; Hyracoidea; Procaviidae. The record is from RNAcentral.
GCAGUGGUGGUUCAGUGGUAGAAUUCUCAUCUUUCACGUGGGAGACCCAGGUUCAAUUCCUGGCCAGUGUA